This 206-nucleotide long non-coding RNA is filed under the name Elaeis guineensis (African oil palm). Its description in RNAcentral is "long non-coding RNA (EGUI_LNC043976)". The record is from RNAcentral. Lineage: Eukaryota; Viridiplantae; Streptophyta; Magnoliopsida; Arecales; Arecaceae.
CCAUCCUCUCCAUCAAGCAUACAUAGGAUAUGCCAGUCUAUCUGGAAUAUUGAUCUCCGACUCAAUGCUCUUAUGACAAAAAAUAUUUAAGAUUAGAAUUUUAGGGUUUUAGGUCUCACUAGCAUGACCCAUUCAUGUCUCCUAAAAUUAUUACCCUAAUAUUUGGAGUUCAUCAUAAUCAUAGACAUAAUAAGAUGCAGCUAAAA